This 1719-nucleotide ribosomal RNA is filed under the name Triticum aestivum (bread wheat). Its description in RNAcentral is "partial small subunit ribosomal RNA". Lineage: Eukaryota; Viridiplantae; Streptophyta; Magnoliopsida; Poales; Poaceae. The record is from RNAcentral.
AUGUUAAAGCCCACCAAAGAAGCACUCUUCUUCUGCGGUCCUGAACUGAAUGGCAGCUGCGGGCCGUCAUCUUCACCCUCACUCAUGGCCGACGGCGACGGUGACGGCGGCGGAGAGGGCGGCGGGAGUGCCGAGUGGCAGCCCAUCUACGACCGGGUCCAGGCGCAGGCCGAGGCUCUCGCCGCCGACCGCGCGCGGCUGGAGGCGGCCAGCAAGGUCCAGCGCGAGUCGUGGGAGGCGGCGCGGAGGCUUCAGCGGAGCGUGGAGGAGCUGCAAGCGGCGGCGCGGGAGAAGGACGCCGAGGUCGGCAGGUUGCGAGCAGAAGCCGCCGACGCUACCAAGAAGCUGCAGGAAGUGCGCGAGGCGGAUGCGGGCAGGAGGAUGAGGUGGGAGGCGGCCUACGUGGAUCUGAUUCUCGGUGCUAACCAGAAGCUCGCCGAACUCAGAGAUGUCGACAUGGAGGAUUCCAGAAUUUGUGCAGAAACCCCCAACUCUAAGGCAAGACUCAGUCAGAACACUGUGGAUCAGGCAUGUGUUGCAAGUGAUUUAAGCACGGAGCUAAGAAAACUAAAGCAAGCUUACGAGACUCUGAGCUCAAAGAAGGACCAGGAAGUUUCUGCAUUAUUCUCAGAAAAAGAACUUGCACGUAACCAGUUGGUUGUAAUGCAAAAAGCCUAUGAUGCGCUUCUUAGGAACAAGAACGGGGAGGCAGCACAAACUACUGAAGCAGCUCAGAAGCUUCAGCGGAGUGUAGAUGAUCUUAAAGUGUCGGCCCAAAAGAAGGACGAGGAGAUUAGCAGAUUGCGAGCAGAAGCUGUUGCUGCCGAAAAGAAGCUACUGAUAGCUCAAAAGCUUCAGCAGAGUGUGGAUGAUCUUAAGGCGGCGGCCCAAAAGAAGGAUGAUGAGAUUGACAGAUUGCGAGCAGAAGCUGUUGCUGCAGAAAAGAAGCUACGGGAAAUGCAAUCCUUGGUCCAGGAGAAAGAUGAUGAAAUCCAAACAAUUAAUGAUGGGCAAGAUGAAACUAAUCAGAAGCGCAGGCGUGUCUCCUCGACUUCAAAUGAUGAUGAGCAGAGUGAAAGUGUUGAGGAUGAUGAUGUUCAGAGUGGAAGUGAUGAGGAUGGUGACGAGCAGAGUGAAAGUGAUGAGCAGAGUAGAAGUGAUGACAAUUGUGAUGAGCAGAGUAGAAGUGAUGAUGAUGAUUUGCAGAGUAGAAGCAAUAAUCAAGUUCAAAAGCCUCUCUUGAAGCCCAAGAGAAAGAGAGAUGCUUGUAAUGCCCAGGUCGCCAACAGCAAUAAUCAAAGUAAAAUUUGUCAAUCGAUCCCAAGAAAGCACUACUUGAAUAGGAUGGCUCCAAAGCCGCUGCGCUCACGAAAGCUGUGUAUUGUCAAUGGCAAGCGUUGUCUGGAGGGUACCGGCCACUGGGGCAAUUACGUCAGGCUUGUGAACGACAGCUUGGCAGACCAACCUGACAAGCACAAGGAGUUUGUCAAUUUCUUGCGCAUUUUCAGGACCUAUAGAAUUCGUUAUUCGGCCAGUGCCAUGGAAAAGGCAUUAGAAGGACACCCCCAGCUGAUCCGCCAGUUUAACCAGUUCUUGCCUAACAAUUGUCAGAUCACGGUCAAGGAGGAGGGGGGCAGCACCCCAAUGAGCAGCCGUGAAAAUAUCAGUGCCGUGGCUGGGCUCGUGAAGCUGAAGGAGGGUGGCAGCCCAAGGGUCUGA